GAGAGUAUAGCUCCAAUGGUAGAGUGUAUGCCUAGCAUAUACGAGGUCCUGGGUUCAAGCCCCAGUACCUCCA
This 73-nucleotide transfer RNA is filed under the name Camelus bactrianus (Bactrian camel). It matches the Rfam family "tRNA". From Rfam's summary of the family: Transfer RNA (tRNA) molecules are approximately 80 nucleotides in length. Their secondary structure includes four short double-helical elements and three loops (D, anti-codon, and T loops). The record is from Rfam by way of RNAcentral. RNAcentral also lists the same sequence under 1 other name. Lineage: Eukaryota; Metazoa; Chordata; Mammalia; Artiodactyla; Camelidae.